AUUGAACGCUGGCGGCAGGCCUAACACAUGCAAGUCGAACGGCAGCACAGAAGAGCUUGCUCUUUGGGUGGCGAGUGGCGGACGGGUGAGUAAUGUCUGGGAAACUGCCCGAUGGAGGGGGAUAACUACUGGAAACGGUAGCUAAUACCGCAUAACGUCGCAAGACCAAAGUGGGGGACCUUCGGGCCUCACACCAUCGGAUGUGCCCAGAUGGGAUUAGCUAGUAGGUGGGGGAAUGGCUCACCUAGGCGACGAUCCCUAGCUGGUCUGAGGGGAUGAACAGCCACACUGGAACUGAGACACGGUCCAGCCUCCUACGGGAGGCAGCAGUGGGGAAUAUUGCACAAUGGGCGCAAGCCUGAUGCAGCCAGGCCGCGUGUAUGAAGAAGGCCUGCGGGUUGUAAAGUACUUUCAGCGGGGAGGAAGGCGGUGAGGUUAAUAACCUCGCCGAUUGACGUUACCCGCAGAAGAAGCACCGGCUAACUCCGUGCCAGCCGCCGCCGUAA
Molecule: ribosomal RNA, 506 nt
Filed under: uncultured bacterium
Lineage: Bacteria
Description: partial 16S ribosomal RNA
Rfam family: Bacterial small subunit ribosomal RNA
Source: RNAcentral